Molecule: ribosomal RNA, 253 nt
Filed under: uncultured bacterium
Lineage: Bacteria
Description: partial 16S ribosomal RNA
Rfam family: Bacterial small subunit ribosomal RNA
Source: RNAcentral
UACGGAGGAUCCAAGCGUUAUCCGGAUUUAUUGGGUUUAAAGGGUGCGUAGGCGGAUUGAUAGGUUAGAGGUGAAAUGUCCGAGCUCAACUCGGGAACUGCCUCUAAUACUGUUGAUCUAGAGAGUAGAUGCGGUAGGCGGAAUGUAUGGUGUAGCGGUGAAAUGCUUAGAGAUCAUACAGAACACCGAUUGCGAAGGCAGCUUACCAAUCUAUAUCUGACGUUGAGGCACGAAAGCGUGGGGAGCAAACAGG